AAAACUCUAAACUCUAUUCUCUCCUUAUUUAAUAGAUGCGGCAAAUCUUAUACCGCCGUUUCGAAAAAAAUAAUUACAGACCGUAUCCACUCCUGUCACGGAUUCAGGGCUGAACACGAUCACGACACGAAACGGCCACGGCGUGUAACGAAGCGCCCCUGAUCCAUCCGUGAAGUCCGAAACCCUUUCUUUUUCUUCUCUUUUCUUUCUAUAAGUGACGAGAACGUCAAAUCUGAAACCCCACCCGUCCGGUCCGCACUACAGAGAAAUAACCCGCGCCGCCGGCCGAGACGAUCGAGGCCGAGGGAGCCGCCGCCAUGGAGCAGCUGCUGGAGAGCUUUCCGCAGCCCGCGGUGUACGACGCCCUAUCCCUCCUGGAGCAGGUCAAAGCAUGCUUCGCGCCCGAUCCGGACGUCACCGCGGAGUUCCUCGACCUCUUCGCGCGCUUCAGCAGGCGCGAGAUCGUCGACAUCCCCGCCGUCGUGGCCAGGGCGUACGCGCUCCUCCAGGGCCAUCCCGAUCUCAUCCAGCGUUUCGACACCUACAACCCCUUUCUCCGCCGUCCUGCUCAGCACGAAGCCGAGCCCGUCCGCGAUGAUCCGCCCAAGCGGCCUAAGAGGGAGCGCCGCCACCCGGCGGCCGCCUCCGUCGACGCCGACUGUGCCGGGGCCAUGCGGUUCCUCGAGCGGGUGAAGCUGGCGGACGCCGGGCUCUACGACAGGGUCCUCGCGCUGCUCUUCCACGUGAGGGCGGAGGUCAAGCUCGACGCGAAUCAAAUCUACGACCAGGCCCGGAAGAUUUUCGGGUCGGCGCACGGCCAUCUCCUCCGCGGUUUCACGGAGUACCUUCCGACGGGGCGUGACUUUCUGAGGCGUCGCGCGCCCAAGAAGGAGCCGCCGGAAGAGCACCGUGCUCCUGCACCCAAGCGCAAGGCCCCCGCUGCCGGAACGGCCACGAUCCGAGUCGACGCCGCGUGCAAGAAGAAACCCCGCGUCGACGAACGGAAGACGACCAACCAGCGCGCCUCCUCGGCCGUCGAUGCCCCCAAGAGCGGCGACAAAUUCUCCAAGUUUAGGGAGGCGUGGGAGUUCGAGACCACGUACACCAAGCUGGUUGUCACCAUAAGACGCACCAAGAAAGCACUAGAAGAACUCAGGCCAAAGCCAAAGAAGAAAUCACGGGAAGAAGCCGAGCCGGCGAAGGAACCGCCGGAGGAAGUCAAGCCGUCGCCGGGCCACCACGUGCGGCCGCGUACGUUCGAGGAACUCUACCCCAGCCGCGAGUGCCGGGAGGUUCUCCAGGAGAUGUACGGCGACAUGUUGGCGCCGAUGCGGGAGGCGCUCGAGGACGGCGCGCGCACAGAGCUGGCUCUGAAGACGAUCAAGCGCAGGCUGAAGAAGCUGGAGGAGGUGGCCGUGAAGAUCGCGAGGGAGCGGCGGGAUCCCGCCCGCGUUGAGCGCCGAAUGGCAGAGCUUGCCAUAGAUCAAGUGGUGCUUCUUCGGGGUCAGGCGGAAAGAGCAGCGGCACGCAAUCCUGAUGGCCCGUGCGAGACCAAGAUUGACAUGGACCAAGAUUGACGGUGAGCAGUGUGGCGUGAUGUAGCUUCGGGAAAUCGAUGCUCUUGUGUGUUGAAGAGGAUCAUUGAGUGGAUAGAGAAUAUCCACAAGGAGAUCAGGAUCAACAUCCCCACGAGACAACUGGUUGCACUAAUGGCCAAAGCCCAUUAUCCCAUUUCAUUCCAACAACCAAAGGAACCACACCUCGUUGUUUUCUGUGGUCUCUAGGUCGUUUUUAUGUGUGUUGCCUGUGGACCAACCCUAGUGGAUGUUGUUUGUCAAAGUCUAUAUCCGAGCCCGCAUCUCUAGUUAUAUUGUUGGAACAUUCAGUUAUUUUAUGAAUUUUUUCACUUGUGCUUUUUUUUGGAAGUAUGCCAAUUGCAUCAAUACUAUCAGUGUGAUUGCUUCA
Molecule: non-coding RNA, 1965 nt
Organism: Triticum urartu
Lineage: Eukaryota; Viridiplantae; Streptophyta; Magnoliopsida; Poales; Poaceae
Source: RefSeq, a predicted model, not a curated record